AGUGAACGCUGGCGGUAGGCCUAACACAUGCAAGUCGAACGGCAGCACAGUAAGAGCUUGCUCUUACGGGUGGCGAGUGGCGGACGGGUGAGGAAUACAUAGCAAUCUACUUUUUCUUGGGGGAUAACGUAGGGCAACUUACGCUAAUACCGCAUACUUUCUACGGCUUGAAUCAAGAGUGCUUCGGAGCUUUCCCGUCUCUUAGAGCCGAUGCCGGAUUAGCUAGUUGGUGAGGUAAGGGACCACCAAGGCGACGAUCCGUAGCAGAGCUGAGAGGAUGAUCAGCCACACUGGAACUGAGACACGGUCCAGACUCCUACGGGAGGCAGCAGUAGGGAAUAUUGGACAAUGGGCGAAAGCCUGAUCCAGCCAUACCGCGUGAGUGAAGAAGGCCUUCGGGUCGUAAAGCCCUUUUGUUAGGAAAGAAAAGCAGCAGGUUAAUACCCCGCUGUUCUGACGGUACCCAAAGAAUAAGCACCGGCUAACUUCGUG
RNAcentral lists this ribosomal RNA (492 nucleotides) under uncultured bacterium. RNAcentral's name for it is "partial 16S ribosomal RNA". It matches the Rfam family "Bacterial small subunit ribosomal RNA", at positions 29 to 507 of the family's 1533-position model. The record is from RNAcentral.